GACGGAGGGUGCGAGCGUUAUUCGGAAUCAUUGGGCGUAAAGAGUGUGUAGGCGGCCGGUUAAGUCAGGUGUGAAAGCCCAGGGCUCAACCCUGGAAGUGCACUUGAAACUGGUCGGCUUGAGUUCGGGAGAGGGAAGCGGAAUUCCUGGUGUAGAGGUGAAAUUCGUAGAUAUCAGGAGGAACAUCGGUGGCGAAGGCGGCUUCCUGGACCGAAACUGACGCUGAGACACGAAAGCGUGGGGAGCAAACAGG
RNAcentral lists this ribosomal RNA (253 nucleotides) under uncultured bacterium. RNAcentral's name for it is "partial 16S ribosomal RNA". It matches the Rfam family "Bacterial small subunit ribosomal RNA", at positions 524 to 776 of the family's 1533-position model. The record is from RNAcentral.